Molecule: ribosomal RNA, 456 nt
Filed under: uncultured Anoxybacillus sp.
Lineage: Bacteria; Bacillati; Bacillota; Bacilli; Caryophanales; Anoxybacillaceae
Description: bacterial SSU rRNA
Rfam family: Bacterial small subunit ribosomal RNA
Source: RNAcentral
ACAAGCGGUGGAGCAUGUGGUUAAUCGAAGCAACGCGAAGAACCUUACCAGGUCUUGACAUCCCCUGACAACCCGAGAGAUCGGGCGUUCCCCUUCGGGGGACAGGGUGACAGGUGGUGCAUGGUUGUCGUCAGCUCGUGUCGUGAGAUGUUGGGUUAAGUCCCGCAACGAGCGCAACCCUCGACCUUAGUUGCCAGCAUUCAGUUGGGCACUCUAAGGUGACUGCCGGCUAAAAGUCGGAGGAAGGUGGGGAUGACGUCAAAUCAUCAUGCCCCUUAUGACCUGGGCUACACACGUGCUACAAUGGGCGGUACAAAGGGUCGCGAACCCGCGAGGGGGAGCCAAUCCCAAAAAGCCGCUCUCAGUUCGGAUUGCAGGCUGCAACUCGCCUGCAUGAAGCCGGAAUCGCUAGUAAUCGCGGAUCAGCAUGCCGCGGUGAAUACGUUCCCGGGCCUU